GGACAGAUUCCCGAGUGGUUAGAGGGAGCAGACUGUAAAUCUGCCGCGUUUUCGCUACGUUGGUUCGAAUCCAACCCUGUCCACCA
This 86-nucleotide transfer RNA is filed under the name Candidatus Phascolarctobacterium caballi. RNAcentral describes it as "tRNA-Tyr". It matches the Rfam family "tRNA". Rfam says of the family: Transfer RNA (tRNA) molecules are approximately 80 nucleotides in length. The record is from RNAcentral. Lineage: Bacteria; Bacillati; Bacillota; Negativicutes; Acidaminococcales; Acidaminococcaceae.